This 246-nucleotide long non-coding RNA is filed under the name Ursus thibetanus thibetanus. RNAcentral's name for it is "lncRNA (ENSUTTG00000016014.1)". The record is from RNAcentral. Lineage: Eukaryota; Metazoa; Chordata; Mammalia; Carnivora; Ursidae.
AUGCUGUGGCUGAUGAGAACACCGAGGAUCCAGAGCACUUGCCAUAAUUCUCCUGGCAGAAAAGUGAAAUAUAUCCAAAGCAGUACAGGGGAAAAAACCAGGAGUGUGUACAGGGCCAUGUGCCCUCCCUGCACCUAAAAUCACUAUUGUUCUACAAGUGACUGAUUGUGAACAUCCCUAACCUGGGAUCCUGGCUAGAGGAGUAGCCCUUAUUGGAGGCAAGCCGUCCUUAAGGAAAAAAUCAAG